GAUGAAGAACGCAGCGAAAUGCGAUAAGUAGUGUGAAUUGCAGAAUUCAGUGAAUCAUCGAAUCUUUGAACGCACAUUGCGCCCCUUGGUAUCCCGAGGGGCAUGCCUGUUCGAGCGUCAUUUCACCACUCAAGCCUGGCUUGGUGUUGGGCGACGUCCCCUUUGGGGACGCGCCUCGAAACGCUCGGCGGCGUGGCACCGGCUUUAAGCGUAGCAGAAUCUUUCGCUUUGGAAGUCGGGGCCCCGUCUGCCGGAAGACCUACUCGCAAGGUUGACCUCGGAUCAGGCAGGGAUACCCGCUGAACUUAAGCAUAUCAAAAAGCGGAGGA
RNAcentral lists this unclassified non-coding RNA (329 nucleotides) under soil metagenome. Its description in RNAcentral is "partial contains 5.8S ribosomal RNA, internal transcribed spacer 2, and large subunit ribosomal RNA". The stretch from base 1 to 120 matches the Rfam family "5.8S ribosomal RNA", at positions 35 to 154 of the family's 154-position model. The record is from RNAcentral.